Molecule: long non-coding RNA, 603 nt
Filed under: Aquilegia coerulea
Lineage: Eukaryota; Viridiplantae; Streptophyta; Magnoliopsida; Ranunculales; Ranunculaceae
Description: long non-coding RNA (ACOE_LNC001339)
Source: RNAcentral
UAACCAUCAUAAUUAAGUACACUAUUUUCCCCUAUUUUCAAUAACAUCUUAAGUCUUUUCAUAGAUAUCCUACUUGUUGCGAAAUGGAAACUAAAUCCUUUAUGACCAUCUUCCUUAUCUUUUGCCUUGUUCUUUCUCCAACAUUACCAUGUGAUGCUGCUCGCUUCAAUCAAAGAGGUAAGCUGUUUUCUUCAGUUCAUUAAAACUUCUAAAGACAUGGGCUAUGGUUUGUUGUUUAAAUCAUGCAUGUCAUGCAAACCUUUUUUUUUAUUAAGAAAUUACAUGAAUAAUUCACUGUUGUUGUUUUUACAAUUGUGUUUUCGCAGAGCUUCUUCAGGGUCGUCCCAUAUGUCCUACUUGUGUGUGUUGCCCAGGCGAAAUAUACGUUCCAGACAAGGAAUGUUGUCCCUGUUGCCCUGUAUUCCCACCACCAAUUGUAACUCAAACAACUUCUCCAUGAUGUGUGCUGCCACAAUUCUAGAAGUAUAUAAAUAAAAAGUGCAGACCUUGUAUAUCAUCUAAAUUUUACAUAUCAAAUUUUGAUGUGCCUGCUCUAGUUGCCUUUUCUUUUUCUUGUAUGUGCCCUUUCAAAUUAAUAUCCAC